CGGUAAUUCCAGCUCCAAUAGCGUAUACUAAAGUUGUUGCAGUUAAAAAGCUCGUAGUUGGAUUUCUGCGGGGACGGAGCGGCCGGACGCAACUUGCGUCUCGAGCUAGCGCUUUCCCCGCAUCCUGCCGCGAACCGUGCUACCAUUAGUUUGGUGGCGCUGGGGAUCGGCUCGAUUACUUUGAGAAAAAUAGAGUGUUCAAAGCAGGCCACACGCCUUGAAUAAGUUAGCAUGGAAUAAUGACUAAGGACUUUGGUUCUUUUCGUUGGUGUUCGGGACUGAAGUAAUGAUUGAUAGGGACAGUUGGGGCGGUCCGUAUUCCAAAGCGAGAGGUGAAAUUCUUAGACCUUCGGAAGACGAACAGCUGCGAAAGCGUUCCGCAAGGAUGUUCCCUUUGAUCAAGAACGAAAGUUGGGGGAUCGAAGACGAUCAGAUACCGUCGUAGUCUCAACUAUAAACUAUACCAGCUAGGGAUCGGCCAACGUUUAAUUAUUCGACUUGGUCGGCACCUUAUGAGAAAUCAAAGCAUCUGGGUUCCGGGGGGAGUAUGGUCGCAAGGCUGAAACUUAAAGGAAUUGACGGAAGGGCACCACCAGGCGUGGAGCCUGUGGCUUAAUUUGACUCAACACGGGAAAACUUACCAGGUCCAGACAUAGGAAGGAUUGACAGAUUGAUAGCUCUUUCUUGAUUCUGUGGGUGGUGGUGCAUGGCCGUUUUUAGUCGGUGAAGUGAUUUGUCUGCUUAAUUGCGUUAACGGACGAGACCCCAGCCUGCUAAAUAGCGCGGCCGAGCUUUGCUCGGUACGAGCUUCUUAGAGGGACCAUGAUGCGCGAUAGCACAAGGAAGUUUGGGGCAACAACAGGUCUGUGAUGCCCUUAGAUGUUCUGGGCCGCACACGGGCUACACUGGCGCCUGCAACGAGCAUAUCAGCUGGCCCGAGAGGGUCUUGGCUAAUCUUUGGAACCGGCGCCGUGCUUGGGAUUGACCAUUGCAAUUGUUGGUCAUGCAACGAGGAAUGCCUUGUAAACGCGAGUCAUCAGCUCGCAUUGAAUACGUCCCUGCCCUUUGUACACACCGCCC
RNAcentral lists this ribosomal RNA (1080 nucleotides) under uncultured Rhizaria. Its description in RNAcentral is "SSU rRNA". It matches the Rfam family "Eukaryotic small subunit ribosomal RNA", at positions 577 to 1674 of the family's 1831-position model. The record is from RNAcentral.